UACGUAGGGUGCAAGCGUUAAUCGGAAUUACUGGGCGUAAAGCGUGCGCAGGCGGUUUUGUAAGUCUGACGUGAAAUCCCCGGGCUCAACCUGGGAAUUGCGUUGGAGACUGCAAGGCUGGAAUCUGGCAGAGGGGGGUAGAAUUCCACGUGUAGCAGUGAAAUGCGUAGAGAUGUGGAGGAACACCGAUGGCGAAGGCAGCCCCCUGGGUCAAGAUUGACGCUCAUGCACGAAAGCGUGGGGAGCAAACAGG
This 253-nucleotide ribosomal RNA is filed under the name uncultured bacterium. RNAcentral describes it as "partial 16S ribosomal RNA". It matches the Rfam family "Bacterial small subunit ribosomal RNA", at positions 524 to 776 of the family's 1533-position model. The record is from RNAcentral.